CUGCGCCUGCGCAGGAUACGGCGGCUACAAUAUUCGUGAGACGCACAGGUUUGCUUCAGAUCGCUGUUGAUCAUACAAAACUCAUAUUUGAGAAGCCAUCUCAUACCUAACUGAAUCUUUUCAAGCACAUAAACAUCCCUUUCGGUGGAAAGGAGUGUAUUUUGAAAUAAAUUGGUUUCUGGUUCAAAUUCGUUCGAGGACUGUCGAGCGUUUCCCCUCAUAUUACAUCACUUUGAUACAGUUGGAUCAAGUCAGUGACGGUUUGAUCAUGAAGGAGGAGGGCAGCCCCAGUGUGAAACACAUCUUUGAUCAGAAAUCUCCAUGGCUGGCAGCUCCUCUUGCUCCAGCAGCAGUAGCAGUGACGGCUCCGCCUCCAGCAGCAGAGGGAGCCAUUCCUCCCGCAGGUCACGGGGGUCAUCACGGGGGCGCCGCAGAUCACGUUCCUCCACGUCCUCUUCCUCACGCUCCCGUUCUCGCUCUCACCCACGCUGUCACCGGGUUUCCAGCCACUCAUGCUGCCACCACCGCCACUAUUCUCCCCCACGCCUUUACCGUGCUCACUCCCGCUCCUACAGCCCGUCCCCAGAACGAUCAUCUGGUCGCAGACGCUAUCGACAGCGCAGUCGCUCUCCAAGUCCCUACGGCUACUCCCGACGGUCAUCCUGCUCUCCUGUCCAUUGGUGGGGUGGUAGGUUUGUGGGGAGGUAUCGGUGCCGGUUUUCCCCCUCUCCUGACAGGUACAGAUCUCACAGGAGCCGGUCCCGGAGCCAGGAACGCACUGCCAUCCGUCUCAGUCAUGCAGAGAAAAAGUAUCUAUUGGAUAUUGCCAAAACGAAUGCUGCAAGGAUUCUGGGAGUGCAAAACUUAGAGCUGCCAGCGAGCUUGAAAGAGUUGGAGGAGCAGGAGGAGAAGAGAUCUUCAGUUCAAGAGAAAAGGUUCAGAGAUGACCCAGCACAGAGCCGAACUCCUUCACCCUUUGGACAAAGAGGGAAAAAGGGGGUGGUCACAUGACUUGAAAGACACCAACUUUAAGUCUUAAAUGCACAACUGCAAAGGUUAAGUAAAUGCGAUGUCAGCGGUAGAAUUGUAUUGAAAAACGGACAAAACACUUUUAACAGUAAUAUAAACGCACGUGUCUGAUUCAUCUCACUUCUCAGCCCCUUCCACACAACAACUGUUAGAAUGGCAGAACAUGUUUGCUGAUGGUUGAACUGGUUUGUAUUAUCAUUUACCAGAGUUUUCCUCUGUUCAGUGUUUGUGAAGACCAGAGAGAGCUUACUCCACUCAUGAUGGAUGGGGUUUGGAAACACAAUUUCUUUAUUUCGCUCAGCCAAGUUUUUUCCCCCUUUUUUGCUUUGUUCAGACAGGCAGCAGAAAUCUGAUUAUUUUGGCACAUCAAACUUAUGUGGUUUGAAAUCAUUUCAGUCGAAAAGGUCUAAUAGGAUUAAAAUAAAUUUUCCCUAAUUUGGGUUGUGCUUUUCUGCUUUGUGUGGUUUUACCGAACAGUGAAAACCUUAAGGUUAGACUAUAAAGAAAAAUCUAAGUUGGGUCCGGUGCAGUGUGAACAAAGCUUUUCUGAAUUUUCUCUUGUGACACAUACUGUACUUGUAGUCUCAGCAAAUGUUUAAAACCUGAACUGUAUUUGAGUUUUGAUGUCCUUUUACACUCAUUAGCAGGUCAGAAUUAGUAAUACACAUGCUAGACUCUCUUCAGUAUGUAUCUCGAUUACAGGCUGAGGGCAGUUUAACUUAAAGCUGAGACAAUGUGCUAGCAAGUAGGUUUACAUAAAAUUGACAGUGUUGUUAAUAUCACCAUUUUCCUCCUUUUCUUCUAGGUAAACCAUGAUGAUGAUGAUGAUGAUGAUAGUGGUGAAGGGACUUCUCACACAUCACCCAAAACAAAGCCAAUUAUCUUCAGCAUCAAUAAUACUGUCACUAAACCUUCAAACAGUCCAACGC
Molecule: RNA transcript, 1958 nt
Organism: Triplophysa rosa
Lineage: Eukaryota; Metazoa; Chordata; Actinopteri; Cypriniformes; Nemacheilidae
Gene: rsrp1
Gene name: arginine/serine-rich protein 1
Exons: 5
Source: RefSeq, a predicted model, not a curated record